UACGUAGGGUGCAAGCGUUGUCCGGAAUUAUUGGGCGUAAAGAGCUCGUAGGCGGUCUGUCGCGUCUGCUGUGAAAACUCGGGGCUUAGCCCCGGGCCUGCAGUGGGUACGGGCAGACUAGAGUGCGGUAGGGGAGACUGGAAUUCCUGGUGUAGCGGUGAAAUGCGCAGAUAUCAGGAGGAACACCGGUGGCGAAGGCGGGUCUCUGGGCCGUAACUGACGCUGAGGAGCGAAAGCAUGGGGAGCGAACAGG
RNAcentral lists this ribosomal RNA (253 nucleotides) under uncultured bacterium. Its description in RNAcentral is "partial 16S ribosomal RNA". It matches the Rfam family "Bacterial small subunit ribosomal RNA", at positions 524 to 776 of the family's 1533-position model. The record is from RNAcentral.